AUGAGUGUCCUAAAGUGUCCCCCUGAGUGUCGUGAGUGUCCCCUGUGUGUCCCCUGUGUGUCUCCAGUGUGUCACCCUGAGGGGCCAGUUUCCCAGGGACAGGAGGACCGGGACAUCGCAGAGCCUCCGCCCGUCCCACCCGCGCAUCCCCGGCGCCCCCGCCCCUUGCAGGUGCUGCGCAGGCCCCAGCCCCCAGGGACACAGGAAGGACAAGCCGCGCCUGGGCCCCGACAGGCGUGCCUCAUCAGGAAGCGGGCUAGAGCCUCCGGGGAGCCACGGGUGCCCGCCCACGCGGCCCCUACACUGUGGCCUGUGCCCUCAGGGUCGCACCAGGGACACAGGCCCGGGCAUGAGGGCCCCCGCAGUCACAGCGGCCCAAGGACGGUCCAGGCACUGUCCCCCCCAUGGAGCCUGGCGGCCAGCACGGGCCUGGGGGCGCCCCCUGGGGCCUGGGCUCCAGCCGUGCUCCCUGCUGCCCCCUCCGCUGUCCCCCCCCCUAAGCAAACACAAUCCUCAGAAAACCAGAAAAGACCACAGAGCCUGGCGCUCGUGGGUGUUCAGGGCGCCCGCCCUGCCCGGACCUCAGAAGAGCCUCUAUGACUCAGGCACCGGUCGAUCCGUAUGAACCUGUAGUAUUAAUGGGAGACCCUCCUCGUGACCCUAUUUCAUGAGUGCCUUACAAAGACAGGCAGGGUGGACGGACCUCGCUUGUCUUGGGCUGGAGCUUCCUCGAGGCAGCAGGGGGCUCCCCCCACCAGAGACAUGUGGACCCAUCGUUGUCGCCAGGGCCACGGAGCGUAUCCUGCACGCCACACGAAACAACGGCCCCAACAACUCUACCGUCCCCACCUUGCAGACGAGGAGAGGGAGGCGCAGAGACAUGGGCUGACCUGCUCGGUACCCCGCCCGUGAGCGGGGAGGUCAAGGUUCGACCCAGGCUACACAACUGGGGACCACUGUCAGGUUGAGAGAGACGUCGCCAAGCCACCCCGGCGGGGCCCCAGGCAGGCUCCCCAGGAUGUUCGUUCCCGUUGUCGCUACGAGUCUCACAAAACCGAGUGGCUUAAAACGACACAAACUACUUAUCUCAGAAUUUGGAGGAGGUCAGGCGCGCGGGAGGUCUCAGCGGCUGAGCCCAAGGUGCUGGCAGGGCCGCCUUCCUUCCCGGAGGCUUAGGGGGACACCCACGUCCCUGUGCCCCCACCUCUGGGGCCGCCUGCACCCCUUGGCCAGCGGCCCCCCGCAGCGUCUUCAAGGCCGGCAAAGGCCAUGGCGUCCCUCAAGGUUGUCACUCUGCUGCCCCCGAGCCCUAGGUCACCACCCCGUCGUACACUGGGCCCCGUGGGUCAUCCCGGAUCACCUCUCUAGAGUCCUCUGAGCUGCGACCUUACUUCGCCUGCAGCCGUGGUA
Molecule: long non-coding RNA, 1410 nt
Filed under: Canis lupus familiaris (dog)
Lineage: Eukaryota; Metazoa; Chordata; Mammalia; Carnivora; Canidae
Description: lncRNA (ENSCAFG00040013061.1)
Source: RNAcentral